RNAcentral lists this ribosomal RNA (493 nucleotides) under Thinophilus sp. 5 SNK-2009. RNAcentral's name for it is "partial 16S ribosomal RNA". It matches the Rfam family "Bacterial large subunit ribosomal RNA", at positions 1862 to 2603 of the family's 2925-position model. Lineage: Eukaryota; Metazoa; Arthropoda; Insecta; Diptera; Dolichopodidae. The record is from RNAcentral.
CCCACUGAUAUUUAUUGAAGGGCCGCAGUAUCCUAACUGUGCAAAGGUAGCAUAAUAAUUAGUCUUUUAAUUGAAGGCUGGAAUGAAUGAUUGGACGAGGCAUAAACUGUCUCAAGCAAAUUGAUAGAAUUUUAUUUUUUAGUUAAAAAGCUGAAAUGUAUUUAAAAGACGAGAAGACCCUAUAGAUCUUUAUAUAAAUUUUUAUGUUUGUUUAUCGGAUUCAUAUAUACAUAUACAUACAUAAUUAUUAAUAUUUUAUUGGGGUGAUAUUGAAAUUAAAUUAACUUUCAAUAAAUGAUUGAAACAUUAAUUUAUGAUUUAUUGAUCCAUUAUUAUUGAUUAAAAAUUUAAGUUACCUUAGGGAUAACAGCGUAAUUAUUUUGGAGAGUUCAUAUCGAUAAAAUAGAUUGCGACCUCGAUGUUGGAUUAAGAUUAAUUUUGGGUGUAGCCGCUUAAAAUAUUAAGUCUGUUCGACUUUUAAUUUCUUACAUGA